GUCCCUUCGGGGACAUCUGAUAAAAUUGGAACGAUACAGAGAAGAUUAACAUGGCCCCUGCACAAGGAUGACACGCACAAAUCGAGAAAUGGUCCAAAUUUUUUUUGACAUUUUUUUCCUUCAGAAUUUCUCUUUGAUUUUUACUCAUUUAAUACAAUGUAAAUGCAAAGAAUAAUAUAUAGCUGAAUACUAACAGAAACAACAAUGUUAUUGAAUCAAAUAAAACUCGUGUAUUUCCUUUGUAAUUGGAUU
This 252-nucleotide small nuclear RNA is filed under the name Medicago truncatula (barrel medic). Lineage: Eukaryota; Viridiplantae; Streptophyta; Magnoliopsida; Fabales; Fabaceae. The record is from RNAcentral.